RNAcentral lists this ribosomal RNA (253 nucleotides) under uncultured bacterium. Its description in RNAcentral is "partial 16S ribosomal RNA". It matches the Rfam family "Bacterial small subunit ribosomal RNA", at positions 524 to 776 of the family's 1533-position model. The record is from RNAcentral.
UACAGAGGUCUCAAGCGUUGUUCGGAUUCAUUGGGCGUAAAGGGUGCGUAGGUGGCGGGGUAAGUCGGAUGUGAAAUCUCAGGGCUCAACCCUGAAACUGCAUUCGAUACUGCCUUGCUCGAGGACUGGAGAGGAGAUUGGAAUUCACGGUGUAGCAGUGAAAUGCGUAGAUAUCGUGAGGAAGACCAGUGGCGAAGGCGGAUCUCUGGACAGUUCCUGACACUGAGGCACGAAGGCCAGGGGAGCAAACGGG